GUUUAACAGAAAGACAAAUCUCGAUUAGUCAAAUGCUCAUUAAAUUACAUACAAUUUUCCAUUUAUCUUGAGGACUUAAUGUAGCACGGUACGGAUCCAUAAUUUUACGUCAGCUAAAAAAAAAUUUGACACGCCUAGAGUCAAGCCAAAGUUUGUCCAACAAAAUUAGAUAAGUUCAACAGCUGCUAUGUAGAAGGGACUGAACUAACCAUCAUUUGCCCAUAAAUCACAAUCACAAUCACAAUCCGUAGAAAGUUUGACCAUGGUCAGCUGGAAACAUGCCUUGGAUCAUGGUUUGAGAGCAAUAAGCCCUAAAAUUUGAUUCCAAACCAAUAAAGCUCAUUGCAUUGUGAAACUCUACUGAGUACCGAGAACAAGCCCAUUAAUGCUCACUUCACUUGAGGAGAGACUACGACCCAGAACCCAGCACAGCUAGACUCAGUUCACUGCUUUAGUUCAUAGUGUUUGCUAGUAACUUUAACCCAUAAGCAGGUCAAUCCACCCAUAUCUAUAAUGGCACAAGAUUUUCUUGAACCAGUUAGCUUGAUAAGGAAGACCUGGUUUGACCACUUCCAGCAACACCAAAUGCAUGUUACCUCCAAGUCCUUGUAAUUUUCAUUAAAAAAGUAAUAAGGAAUUCAGGUAACUAAGGACAACACCUGAAUAAUUUCCAGGUAUUGCAUUACACCAGAGACAUUCAAUUGUCUCCUUUCUAUUUUUUAAAAAAAUAAAAAAAGGUAAAAAGCUGAUACCA
Molecule: unclassified non-coding RNA, 754 nt
Filed under: Hevea brasiliensis (rubber tree)
Lineage: Eukaryota; Viridiplantae; Streptophyta; Magnoliopsida; Malpighiales; Euphorbiaceae
Source: RNAcentral